GCACACAUUUCCGUCCCUGUCCACCAGGGGGUGCAGCUUCCUACCACAAUCACAUUUUCUGUGUGAAAUGUGGGCUUCCACUGAUCAUUUCUCUGUCCCUCCAACGUUUCUUCAUGGUAAGAAUGAAGAAUAUCAUUUAGGUGAUGCUCCAGAGAUGAAGUGUUCUCCAGGCUUCGUGACUGUGAUACUCUUAAUGCUUGGACAAACCCAUGGAGACUCGGUGACCCAGACGGAGGGCCAAGUGACCCUCUCAGAAAAGGGUUUCCUGAUGGUGAACUGUACUUAUUCAGGAUCAGGGUAUCCUGCCCUUUACUGGUAUGUCCAGUAUCCAGGAGAAGGUCCACAGCUCCUCCUUAGUGCCUUGACGGAUAAGGAGAAAGGAAGCAAGAAAGGAUUUGAAGCCACUUAUGACAGAGAUUACAAAUCCUUCCACUUGGAGAAAGGCUCAGUGCAAGCGUCAGAUUCAGCUGUGUACUAUUGUGCCAUGAAUGACACAGUGACGGGGACUGCAGGGGGAGCUGAGCACAAACUCUGA
Non-coding RNA from Callorhinus ursinus (northern fur seal), 535 nucleotides. NCBI's taxonomy places the organism in Eukaryota, Metazoa, Chordata, Mammalia, Carnivora, Otariidae. The record is from the annotation of a RefSeq genome assembly.